CUGAUAACUGGGGUGAAGUCGUAACAAGGUAGCCGUAUCGGAAGGUGCGGCUGGAUCACCUCCUUUCUAAGGAA
Molecule: ribosomal RNA, 74 nt
Filed under: Lacrimispora saccharolytica
Lineage: Bacteria; Bacillati; Bacillota; Clostridia; Lachnospirales; Lachnospiraceae
Also listed under: 1 other name
Description: partial 16S ribosomal RNA
Rfam family: Bacterial small subunit ribosomal RNA (bases 1-66)
Source: RNAcentral